This is a long non-coding RNA of Schistocerca nitens (vagrant locust), 2507 nucleotides long. RefSeq lists it as uncharacterized. The transcript has 2 exons. The record is from RefSeq and is a predicted model, not a curated record. Lineage: Eukaryota; Metazoa; Arthropoda; Insecta; Orthoptera; Acrididae.
UUAGGGGUACUAAUAGUUUUGUCUGUCCGAAGAACACGUGGGAAUAGCAAGCGUCUUCAGUUUCGUAGAGCAUUGGUAACUGUGAAGCCUAAAUACGUUUUAUUUUCUACGUUUGCUGUGGACUGUUGGAAGUUACUGCAUUUCUUCCAUUUCGUUCUGUUUAGCGUAGCAGCAGAUCUUCCCUAACUAGCAAACCAUGGAAGCUUUCAACGAGGGAGGUACGCAGAUGGAAACUACUGAGAAGGGCUGUCCUGUCUGCGGUGCGGAGGAUAGCCGUACCACAUCGCUCCCAGCAGGAGCAUUGCCGGAGUCCUUAGAGUUAAAAAUCCGAGGUCAGAGAAAACGUGAAAUUUAUAGCCAAUUGUUCGUGGACUCUCUUGUGCGCAAUUAUAAGGGAGGGCUGUCGAAAGAGGACUACAGGGCUAAACUGCAGGCAAUUAGGCGAAAAGACCUUAUAAAGAGUAAAAAACAACUCAAUGAAGAAUUGCGCUUAGCCUUGGAAAGAAAGAAGCAACCACUCGCAGCGCGAACAAGGCACAAGAAACCGGAACUGCAAAACGGAGGUUGCGUUUGUUACGAAAUGGAGAAUCUGAAACAAAAAUGGCGGAAGUUUAAAAACGCUGUUGCAUUGGCAAACAAUGAACGUGAACGUGUCGAGGACGUUAGGAAGUGUUUAGAGAAGGCAGUAAUUUCAUAAGUUUUUUUUUUGUCUUUUACGAACUGCUCUCAAAUUCAACCGAGUUGUUCGUUCUUUAGUGACUGGCAUUUUUAUGCCCCGACUGGUGUUGUGUAAAACGUCAAAUGUGAACAUUGUGAAGAAAUACAUUGAACUUCUUCUUUAGUGUUUUAAUGCUCUAAUUAUAACAGUAUUAUACUCUUUGUGUAUUUAUUUGCCCUCCACCAACUAUCCAUGUGGUAAUAGUUGAAGCUGUUUGGGAAUCCACCACUAGAAUCAGUUUACUGUAAUGUAAUAGUAAUCCUAAAAUGCUUCCAUCGUAUAUUGUAAUAAUUUUGAUUUAGCAGCGUAUCAAACUUUUUGCCUCUAGGAAGUGUACAUGUUCAAAAUGCUCGUUGCGCAAAGAUUUGACUUUUAAGGCCAAGGUCUAUGGUUUUUUUUGUUUUAUUUUUAUUUUUUUUAUUUAAUAAUUAGUUCAUGUUCCCGAGAGGAAAUGAACAGUGUUCUUUGUAUUAGGAAAUUCUGAUACACAAAAUAUGACUCUCAUAGCUGUGGUGUAUUUGUGUAAGACAUUAAGUUCGGUAUAGACAUAUAGCUAAAGAUGGGCCAAUUCAAAUGUUGGGUACGAUUCGUUGGUGGCGUCAAAGGAAGGUAAAAAAAUUGGGACUGUAGGAAAAGUUCCGUGUAGAUGCAGAUUUUUUAAAAUAAUCUGGGAUGAGAUUUUUGUCAGUACCAACUCAUAUUUUAUGGUUUAGCAUCAUGGUAUUACAUUUAAUGCCAAACAGAAUCAUAGCUUUCUACAAUCGCAUUUCUUCUGCAAAUCAAUAAAGAAACGUGUGAGAGCAAUGCAAGAAGUUACUUGCAGGUAGUUUUGCAGUAUUCAAACUACUGUAUUACACAGUGGCAUUAUUCAUUUUCAUACUUUGUAUUAAAACUCUCUGCCUCAUUAUUAGCAACCUUCUUGGACAGAUUUUUCAAAUCGUUGUUUGAAAUUGUGCAGGACAAGUCUAUGUACGGGCCACUUAAAACAUUGCUACAUAUACGUAUGCUGAAUUAUGGUACUAAAAAGUGCAGCCUAAUAAAAAAGGGGCAUUAAAAUUUUUGUAUUUGCUUUGUAUGUGGUAGAUACAUGAAGUAUGAAUGCAAAACACUGUAUGCUUUUAUGGGCUGUUAAGAUAUUAACAAAGUACUUUUUAGGUUUAACAUCAUAAGUUAGUAUGUAUGUGGCUUUCCCUACCCUUGGUAAAAUUUUGUUGAAGAUAUACAUUUUUUAAAUUUAUAUAUAAUCAGAUUUUUAGGAAUAUGUCCUACUUAUAAUUUAUAUUAACACGUUGGAUUGCGUAUUAUUGUGUGGACCCUCAAUUGGAGGCUUUCUUGGCGCAUACCGAUGCAAAAAUCUUCUGAGUGAUCUGAAUGGUGGCAUCUUGUCACAGCAUUUCAGUGAGUUUUGAACCCAUCUUCUUUCCCUGGAGAUGGCGUUUGGAAAAUCACAAAGUUUGUGACAAGUUGAUGCAGCCACUCAGCUGAUCACCCAAGAAGUAUGGUGCAGAAUGUCACCAAUAAAUGUACCUACUUUAUCAUGCAAAUAUGUAAAGCUUUUUGUUACAUCUUGUGGGUUGAAAACUCCACGCUCUCCCUCCCCCACACUUAGAUAAUCAGUAGUAACCUGUUGUAGGGGCAAAUGUGCAAUCCUUUUUGUGACUCAAAUGGGUGAUAUACCUUUACAACUAUUCCCACAUGUAGUUCACAGAUUGAUAACCAUUGCAGAAUAAAUAUCAAGAAUUAUGAAUGUAAAUUAUUAUACCAGAAAAUAAAUUUAAGUUGUCAGAAA